RNAcentral lists this ribosomal RNA (253 nucleotides) under uncultured bacterium. RNAcentral describes it as "partial 16S ribosomal RNA". It matches the Rfam family "Bacterial small subunit ribosomal RNA", at positions 524 to 776 of the family's 1533-position model. The record is from RNAcentral.
UACGGAGGAGGCAAGCGUUGUCCGGAAUCAUUGGGCGUAAAGAGCGCGUAGGCGGUCCGGUAAGUCCGCUGUGAAAGUCAAGGGCUCAACCCUUGAAUGCCGGUGGAUACUGUCGGGCUAGAGUCCGGAAGAGGCGAGUGGAAUUCCUGGUGUAGCGGUGAAAUGCGCAGAUAUCGGGAGGAACACCAAUGGCGAAGGCAGCUCGCUGGGACGGUACUGACGCUGAGACGCGAAAGCGUGGGGAGCAAACAGG